AUUGCUACUUAUCUUUCAUGACUCAUGAUCACUUUUCAUUGCAUGACUUCUAUCUUAUUAUCAGCUUUCGCUUCUGUCAUUUUUACUUCCUUUUAGUUGAUUUGGGUUGGUUUCAGUGUUGUCAAACAUCGACUAGAGUAGCGGUACAAUGUAGCAGAAUUCAACCAAUCCACUGUUGUUCCGUAAUAUGCUAUUUAGUAGUUAGUACAAAUUGUUCUCUUUUGGUACAACAACCAUCAGACAAAUCAAGGUAUGUUAUGCACUUAUAUAUGACAAACCAGAAAGAAUGAAAUAGAGAAACAAAAUCAAAAUUAUCUUAUUCAAACUUAUUGUAUAUACUUGUGUUCUUUUUAAUGUGUGGCAUGCUCGGAAUGAUUUGUACGACAGACUUCUUUUUCUCUCCAUUGAAUUGAGUCAUUGAUUGAGAGUAAGAGUAGAGUAGUAUGCAAUAUUGCAUACAAUCCCAUCUGAGAUAUUUUUCAAUAACAUGAGUGAAAUAAUUUUAGUUUUGAUUAAAUGUGUCAAUAUGGUAUCUUGUAUGAAAAUAAUCCUCAAUGAGCUCUUGGUUGCUAAUAUUGCUAAUAUCCCCUUAAACUCGGUCUUCUGUCUUUGGUAUUCGUUAUGUUGGUGGUUUUUUUCGGAAACCUAUGCAAGGAAUAACAAUAUUUUUAAGCAUGGUAGUCAAUCCCGGGCGAUCCCAGUGGGAUCCCGGUGGAGCAGAGCGGAAUGGAGCUCUGCCGGGACGGGAUGGGAUGGAGCGGCGCAGCUAAGCUUCUCGGUGGGAUCCCAGCAGGUUCCCAGUGGACCGGAGCGGAGCGGGUCCCGGGUUGCCAUCCCGGGUUAGGACUGGGANNNNNNNNNNNNNNNNNNNNNNNNNNNNNNNNNNNNNNNNNNNNNNNNNNNNNNNNNUGAGCAGUCAAGUACUGACAAUGGACCAGUGUGCUCACAACGGCUGAAACCUUAGAUUGAACUAUGUCAGAUGAAAAAUUUGAGGUAGGUAUCAACUGGAGAGCUUAACAAUCCGAAAUGAUUCUAUUAUUCUUGAACAAAUGAAUCUGUACAACUAUAUAUAUACAAGAGAGACAAUACAAUGACAAAGGGGAUUUUACCCAGGACAAAUAUUUCAAGGUAUUCCUGGUCAUAAUCCCAAGGGUACAAUGUGCUUUUAGUCUAUUUAAACUCUUGCUGCCAUCUUUCUUUUCUGUUUUUAUUGGGGAAUGAUGCAAUAUCGUAAUAUGCCAUGCAUUUUGAACUUUUUGGUGUUGCAGACACGUGGUAAUUUUAUCGUCUUUAUAACUUAGAUAUUGUAGCAACUAGCAUGCAGCUAAAGUUUUGGCUAUCUAUCUGUUCAAUAUCAGUGUGAAGUUUUCCUGUUAGGACAGUUUGCUGUUUUAUUUCAUUAUUGAUGAUGGAUUUAUAUGGGUAGCUUAUUAUUCAAAAGUAAAAGUAAUAAUUGAUUUUUUCUCAUGGUAAUUGUGCUGUUUUGUAGAAGCUGACAGAUGAUUACAUAAAGAAG
This 1516-nucleotide long non-coding RNA is filed under the name Trifolium pratense (red clover). Its description in RNAcentral is "long non-coding RNA (TPRA_LNC011867)". Lineage: Eukaryota; Viridiplantae; Streptophyta; Magnoliopsida; Fabales; Fabaceae. The record is from RNAcentral.